ACCCAAAGUGGAAUUGUCUGGUGCGCAGCUGUAAUUCAGGCGAGCCUGAAAUUCAGGAGCGAGAUCUGAGCAGGCAAUCUACUGGUGGGGUGGCAGAGAGAACCCAGGGCAUGGGUACUGAGAACAGAGCAGGUACCGUGCUGGGCCCCGGAACAAAGGGUAAUCCUAGAUGGGAAGGGACACCCACCUCUGUUUGGAGCUGGCCAGAGACAAUACCCUGCUUUGGUGAGAUGCCAUUGUCAAUGGAACCAAGGAUGACCAGGGAGGAUUGAUUCACUCUCCUGCUCACCCAGCAACUCAUUUGCCCUCACAGGCACCUCAAAGAAAACGGAGGCGGGGGACCCAGGGAAAGCGCCGGCAGAGCUGAUGAAACUGUAGCAUUGCCACUUCCUUGCUGGGAGAACUAGGACAAGGUAUUCAAGUUCUCCGAGUCUCAGCUUCUUCCUGUGGAAAAUCAAGCUAAUGAGGCCUGAUAUAAGGACCCUUGUGAGAAGAAACCAGACAAGAGAAGUCAAGGGCCCAAGGCAGUGUGCCUGGGGCAGAGCGGGGGUUAUUGCUGAGGGCAGGAUUCCUGCGGGUCCUCCCACUACCCAGCAUGCUCUUUUGUCCCUUACAGGUAAACAUCCACUGGCUGGGGGCGAACAGACCCUGGGCAUCCAAAGCCUAGGGUGGUGGCAAAGAAGCCAUUUUCUUUCCCCUGCUGCCUCGUUGAGUUAGAUAUAGACACUUCCUGUGGUUUUGUUUGUUUGUUUGUUUUACUGAUAUACAGUGCCCUUCCUGUACAUGCAGCCGAGUGUUGUAACCAGACAGGAUCAUUUGUGUUCGUUGCCUCAGGAGGCUACGCUAGCUCAGAGAGGAAGCAGGACCUCAGCAGAAAGGGGGCAAGGCCUGGGCAUUUGAUGGGUGUUACUAAAUGCCAGGCCUCUCAGCUAUGCUAACUUCCCAACAUAGCAUGAUAACGUGGCAUGGCAGAAGCACUGUCACCCAUAAAACAGACGAGAAUACCGAGGUUCAGACAAGUUAGGAAAUUUGACCAGCUACACAAAAUGAGAUGCUGCCCAAGAGGGGAUCUUGACUCUAAAAUCCACUGCUUGCCAUUAUAGCACAUGGAAGUCUGAAUCAGAGGACCUGGGAUGUAAUUGUGACUUUGCCACCAACCAGCUGGGUGGCCUUGGGACCGCCACUUAAUCUUUCUGAAGCUCCAAUUUCCUCAGCCUGAAGGGAGAGUUGAGCUUCUAAACGAUGGGGCUGGGUCUCCCAUUCAGGUUUCCCAGGCCGUCACUACCUGUCAUUGCUAGUCUCUGCAGCCCUCUAGUGGCGCUUUGCAGGACACAAGUGGUACCUUCCCUUUCGGUUGCCAUAGUCACAGUGGGCUGAUGCAGGCUCUCCAGAGCACCUGAGAGCUAGGUGCCCCUUUGGCCUUCGCUGAUGACCAAGUUCGCUGAUGAUAAAUGGGGCUCAGAAGAGCCAUGGAGACAGAUAUGAACAGAGUGGUUCUCAGAAGGCAUUCUUGUUUUUAAAACUCUCAGUCCUGUUUGUUCUGUGCCAUAUCUAGAACUCUCACUCACUCUUCAGUGAUAAAGACUGCAAACCUCAAACGUGGAUUCCAAUUUUAAUUUUAAAUUCAUUUGUGGAAUAUACAUGUACCUGACCUCGCUCGAAUCCUACUGACACUCACACCAUCAGGUCAUCUUAAAGGGGCUGCCUGUGGGAAUGUUGAGAGGACACUGUGAUGGGAGCCAGCACACAUGGGUCCCGGCUCUGGCUCUGCUGAGUAUGUGCCUGCCUUGUGACAUCAAUGGUCAUUGCACUUCUCUGCACGCCAAGCUCUCCAUUGAUAAAAUAAGGGGUUUGGUGGUAGAGCCCUUGCGAUCUGACAUCUUAAGCAUGUGCCUGAAGUUGCUCCUUUAGAAUGGCAGAUUUUUACCUUUCUGCCCAGUCUUUUACUUUACUUUCUUUUGCCAAUGGACACAUGCUUGUCUGAGAGCUGGGAUGGAGGGUGUUAGGUAAAGGUACUGUCUGAAGCUACGAAGCAGACUAAGGUGAACAAACAUGGCUUUAUGUGCCAUCUACAUGUCGAUGAC
This is a long non-coding RNA of Hipposideros armiger (great roundleaf bat), 2084 nucleotides long. RefSeq lists it as uncharacterized. The transcript has 3 exons. The record is from RefSeq and is a predicted model, not a curated record. NCBI's taxonomy places the organism in Eukaryota, Metazoa, Chordata, Mammalia, Chiroptera, Hipposideridae.